CAUGGAGCCGACCUUGAAAUACCACCCUUUAAUGUUUGAUGUUCUAACGUGGACCCGUAAUCCGGGUUGCGGACAGUGUCUGGUGGGUAGUUUGACUGGGGCGGUCUCCUCCUAAAGAGUAACGGAGGAGCACGAAGGUUGGCUAAUCCUGGUCGGACAUCAGGAGGUUAGUGCAAUGGCAUAAGCCAGCUUGACUGCGAGCGUGACGGCGCGAGCAGGUGCGAAAGCAGGUCAUAGUGAUCCGGUGGUUCUGAAUGGAAGGGCCAUCGCUCAACGGAUAAAAGGUACUCCGGGGAUAACAGGCUGAUACCGCCCAAGAGUUCAUAUCGACGGCGGUGUUUGGCACCUCGAUGUCGGCUCAUCACAUCCUGGGGCUGAAGUAGGUCCCAAGGGUAUGGCUGUUCGCCAUUUAAAGUGGUACGCGAGCUGGGUUUAGAACGUCGUGAGACAGUUCGGUCCCUAUCUGCCGUGGGCGCUGGAGAACUGAGGGGGGCUGCUCCUAGUACGAGAGGACCGGAGUGGACGCAUCACUGGUGUUCGGGUUGUCAUGCCAAUGGCACUGCCCGGUAGCUAAAUGCGGAAGAGAUAAGUGCUGAAAGCAUCUAAGCACGAAACUUGCCCCGAGAUGAGUUCUCCCUGAGACUUAGAGUCUCCUGAAGGAACGUUGAAGACGACGACGUUGAUAGGCCGGGUGUGUAAGCGCAGCGAUGCGUUGAGCUAACCGGUACUAAUGAACCGUGAGG
RNAcentral lists this ribosomal RNA (743 nucleotides) under Salmonella enterica subsp. enterica serovar Kentucky. RNAcentral describes it as "partial 23S ribosomal RNA". It matches the Rfam family "Bacterial large subunit ribosomal RNA", at positions 2179 to 2916 of the family's 2925-position model. Lineage: Bacteria; Pseudomonadati; Pseudomonadota; Gammaproteobacteria; Enterobacterales; Enterobacteriaceae. The record is from RNAcentral.